This 208-nucleotide ribosomal RNA is filed under the name uncultured bacterium. Its description in RNAcentral is "partial 16S ribosomal RNA". It matches the Rfam family "Bacterial small subunit ribosomal RNA", at positions 568 to 774 of the family's 1533-position model. The record is from RNAcentral. RNAcentral also lists the same sequence under 1 other name.
CUCGUAGGUGGUUUGUCGCGUCGUCUGUGAAAUUCCGGGGCUUAACUCCGGGCGUGCAGGCGAUACGGGCAUAACUUGAGUACUGUAGGGGUAACUGGAAUUCCUGGUGUAGCGGUGAAAUGCGCAGAUAUCAGGAGGAACACCGAUGGCGAAGGCAGGUUACUGGGCAGUUACUGACGCUGAGGAGCGAAAGCAUGGGUAGCGAACA